GUGUAUGGGAAUGUAACUUUCCAUGUACCAAGCAAUGUGCCUUUAAAAGAGGUCCUAUGGAAAAAACAAAAGGAUAAAGUUGCAGAACUGGAAAAUUCUGAAUUCAGAGCUUUCUCAUCUUUUAAAAAUAGGGUUUAUUUAGACACUGUGUCAGGUAGCCUCACUAUCUACAACUUAACAUCAUCAGAUGAAGAUGAGUAUGAAAUGGAAUCGCCAAAUAUUACUGAUACCAUGAAGUUCUUUCUUUAUGUGCUUGUCAUUCAAGACACAGAUAUGCACUUAUACCCAUACCAUUAGCAGUAAUUACAACAUGUAUUGUGCUGUAUAUGAAUGGUAUGUAUGCUUUUUAAAACAAAA
This 357-nucleotide long non-coding RNA is filed under the name Homo sapiens (human). RNAcentral describes it as "non-protein coding lnc-IGSF3-2:2". Lineage: Eukaryota; Metazoa; Chordata; Mammalia; Primates; Hominidae. The record is from RNAcentral.